UACGUAGGGCGCAAGCGUUAUCCGGAAUUAUUGGGCGUAAAGAGCUCGUAGGCGGUUUGUCGCGUCUGCCGUGAAAGUCCGGGGCUCAACUCCGGAUCUGCGGUGGGUACGGGCAGACUAGAGUGAUGUAGGGGAGACUGGAAUUCCUGGUGUAGCGGUGAAAUGCGCAGAUAUCAGGAGGAACACCAAUGGCGAAGGCAGAUCUCUGGGCCGUAACUGACGCUGAGGAGCGAAAGCAUGGGGAGCAAACAGG
Molecule: ribosomal RNA, 253 nt
Filed under: uncultured bacterium
Lineage: Bacteria
Description: partial 16S ribosomal RNA
Rfam family: Bacterial small subunit ribosomal RNA
Source: RNAcentral